CCUACGGGAGGCAGCAGUGGGGAAUAUUGGACAAUGGGGGCAACCCUGAUCCAGCCAUGCCGCGUGUGUGAAGAAGGCCUUCGGGUUGUAAAGCACUUUUGUUGGGGAAGAAACCGGCCGGGUUAAUACCCUGGUUGAAUGACGGUACCCAAAGAAUAAGCACCGGCUAACUUCGUGCCAGCAGCCGCGGUAAUA
RNAcentral lists this ribosomal RNA (195 nucleotides) under uncultured Dokdonella sp. RNAcentral describes it as "partial 16S ribosomal RNA". It matches the Rfam family "Bacterial small subunit ribosomal RNA", at positions 338 to 525 of the family's 1533-position model. The record is from RNAcentral. Lineage: Bacteria; Pseudomonadati; Pseudomonadota; Gammaproteobacteria; Lysobacterales; Rhodanobacteraceae.